This 68-nucleotide transfer RNA is filed under the name Scolopsis ciliata. RNAcentral describes it as "tRNA-Ser". Lineage: Eukaryota; Metazoa; Chordata; Actinopteri; Spariformes; Nemipteridae. The record is from RNAcentral.
GAGAGAGGCUCGCAGCAACGGAAACUGCUAAUUUUCGUCGCCCGGGUUGGACCCCCGGGCUCACUCGC